This 268-nucleotide long non-coding RNA is filed under the name Chinchilla lanigera (long-tailed chinchilla). RNAcentral's name for it is "lncRNA (ENSCLAG00000029062.1)". The record is from RNAcentral. Lineage: Eukaryota; Metazoa; Chordata; Mammalia; Rodentia; Chinchillidae.
GAUUUAGCCAUCGCUGUUGGAUGACCCUCCAUUGCCUGUCCAAUGGGCAGUGUUCCAUUCCGGAUUUAAAGGUGCUCAGAUCAGCAUAGCAGGUGAGGGACAAUGAGGACAAGCUUCCUUCUGGAGCUCGGUGCAGACACAGCUGGAUGUAAGGACCAUCCGAGUGUUACAUGGGGACUCAAACCUGCUCGGAGAGACAGAGCAAGCCUCCCACCGUCCUGUGCGUCCGAGGAGACCUUAAGAUGCCCUGGGCCACGGUGCAAACCAG